This 212-nucleotide unclassified non-coding RNA is filed under the name Glomus sp. RNAcentral describes it as "partial contains 5.8S ribosomal RNA and internal transcribed spacer 2". The stretch from base 1 to 71 matches the Rfam family "5.8S ribosomal RNA", at positions 84 to 154 of the family's 154-position model. The record is from RNAcentral. Lineage: Eukaryota; Fungi; Glomeromycota; Glomeromycetes; Glomerales; Glomeraceae.
GUGAAUCAUCAAAUCUUUGAACGCAUAUUGCACUCUCUGGUAUUCCGGAGAGUAUGCCUGUUUGAGGGUCAGCCUAAAAAAAAAUCGACAUAGUCGCUGUUCCGCGGUGACAUUCGCCGGAAAUUGGGACAUCUUAAACCUUUGGGUUUUAAGCGGAUUAAAAUUGUCAUUAAGAUUACACGAACGUUUAUAAGAUAUACUUGUUAUACGAG